Amphiprion ocellaris (clown anemonefish) is the source of this 656-nucleotide long non-coding RNA. Lineage: Eukaryota; Metazoa; Chordata; Actinopteri; Pomacentridae. The record is from Ensembl.
CGUGGAGAGUCAAAGGUCCGUGUCCUUCACCUCUAACGUGUCCAGAGGAACUUUGAGCGACCUGGAAGCUCACAUUUAGCUGGUGGUUAGCUUUGUUAGCAUUCACUGUGCUAAUGAAUGCAGGAUAGAGCUUAAUAUGCUACAUAAUUAGCGGCGUCCAUACUGAGCAGAACAGGCUAACAAGGUCAGAGCUGGAUUCUUCUGCUGCUCCAAAACUUGUAAACUUAAGUCCAUCCAAAGAAUGUGGAGGUUCCAGUCCCAGGGAAAAGUCCAGCAGCCCGUAUAAACGUGCGGUGUUUGUUCUGCACACAAGAGUUUUCUUACAGCAACAACACAUCAUGCAUGCUGAGACACUCCAGACAUGGUGACAAUCUGCCCAGCAAACCAGUGACCCUGUCGACACUGGAAAUCCAGACACAUAAUUGUAUGGAAAGCCUCAGUGCUUCAUGAGGCUUCACCUGUCCAUCACUAGCUGAAUGAUACCAGUGCAAGGAUAUCGAUACUUUAGUUUCAGUUUCUGUCCUGUAUGUCUGCACUGAUGCGGCUUCUACAAACAGGCGACCUGAUUGGCUGUCAGAGGUCCUCCAUCUGAGGAGCAGCAGCUAAUCCUCCUCUUGUGAUUGGAUGUUGUACCGUCACGUGACUCAGAGGCGCCA